Molecule: ribosomal RNA, 256 nt
Filed under: uncultured bacterium
Lineage: Bacteria
Description: partial 16S ribosomal RNA
Rfam family: Bacterial small subunit ribosomal RNA
Source: RNAcentral
GACGAACCGUGCGAACGUUAUUCGGAAUUACUGGGCUUAAAGCGCGUGUAGGCGGGCCGGCACGUCCGACGCUGAAAUCCCCCGGCUCAACCGGGGAAGUGGCGGGGAUACGACCGGCCUCGAGGGGGGUAGGGGGACCUGGAAUUCCGUGGUGUAGCGGUGAAAUGCGCAGAGUAUCAGGAGGAACACCGGUGGCGAAGGCGGUUCUCUGGGCAUGUCCUGACGCUGAGGAGCGAAAGUGUGGGGAGCGAACAGG